GGGGAGGCAGAAAGCCAGAGAAAGUGGGCUCGACAGACGCACAGCUCCAGCUCAUCACCCUGGUCCUUCUGCUUCCCGGUGGUGCGACCGUGGGCAAGUCACUGGACUUCUCUGUGCCUCUAUUUCCCCAUCUGCCAAACAGGGCUAAUUCUACUGGUUACCAUAGAAGGCCACUGGGCAGCGAGGCUCAGAAUCAGGCCUGGCCCUCCGGAAGGGCUGUUUGUGAUCACGAUGGCUGGUCUGGCCCUGGUAUAACGCCAGGCUCUGGCCCCUGAGCCUCCCGGAGCUCAGCGUCCUUGCGGCGAUCAGCACGGGCAUAGGCAGCCCUGGAGAGCACCUGCCCCCAAGUCACAAUAGACAACCUCAUCUGGCUCCUGUGAUGAUUAUCCCCUCCCUUGAGUGGGUGCUCUACCUUUAUUAAUAGGGCCCAAUUUACAUGGGCUUUCUAGGUGGCCUUGUACUGGCAAAUCAUGCUCAGCUGACAGACAACUACCAUCUGUUUGCCCUAGCUGAUUCUAUGGGUUUUUCUUUUUUUCUUUUUCUUCUUUAGGUCAGACAAAGAUCUUGAUUUGUCUUCCUGCCAUGGUACUUCCUGUUCAGGGGUUCUGAAAGAGCCUGCAUAGAAGACUGAUGAAGAAGAGCUCUGGCGUCCAACUGAGCCGGAUUCGAACCCAGCUCCCUCCAUGGCCUUGGGCGAGUCACUUUACCUGCCUGAGUUUUCUCUGGGAAGGGGCACUCCUGGGAGGCAGUAGGAGCAAACUGCGUCGUGUUUGCAAAGCACCGAGCUCAGGCACCCAGCAAACUUGCCGCUGGGAGUUUGCAGGAGGAGCUGAGCUCAGCUGGCCUCCCCUCCCCUGGUGCAGAGGGGCCAGGAAGGCUCUGCUCACAGGAGCCAGGGGCCUGGGGCUGUAGUGAUGCUCACAGGAAGCAGCCUGGAGACAAAAGCUACUUGCUCAGCCCCCAGGGCGGGAGCCCCAGCUCCUCUCCUCCCAGUUUCACCCUAAGGAGCAGAAGGGAAAGUGAGGCAGAUGAUAGUUCAGCCCAAGUCAGAAGUCAUUGCCCUGCAAGGAGGUGAGCUCCCCGUCAGGGGGAGUAUGGAAGCAGAGCACAGACGAGUCACCACUGGGCUUAGAAAGGGCACAUGGCAUCUACCAGGUGCAUCUGAGGAGACUUUCGAAGUCCCAAGAACCCAGAACUAUCUGAGAUACAAAGCAAAGCCCAGAAUCAGGCAAACUGCCACUUCUAAAGGGGCCUCCAUCCACUUAUUUGAUAAGAUCCUCUGACCGGUGACCUGGGAAGGGGCUGGAAAGGGCCUGGCAUGCCUAACUUCAUGCCAAGGGACCCGGGCACAACCAGCCAGGGACUGGGCUUCACAGGUGAGAGAGCGAGGCCCGGAGAGGUCCAGGAACUUGUCACAGCCUCCCAGCCGGUCCUCUCUAGGACCAGGAUUCACAGCCAAGCCAGUGUCCCAAGCCCUCCACUCCCUGCCCUGCAGCCCCUCCUCCUGGGCUUCCCUGCCUGUCCCCAGCCCGCUACCACCUCCCACAGUGAGUCAGACAAACGUGGCUCCCUCCUCUGGUAGUCCAAGGGCAGUGCCCGACCCCAGCCUCCUUCUACCCCACUUCCCCUUCUCUACAGCCCUGGGCAGGCGGGGAGAGGGACUUAUUCCCACCCUGAGGCUCACAGAGGGCAGCAACCAGCCCAAGGCCACAAGCAAGGCGCCCUCAGAACCUCCCCCAGCCUCAGCAGAAGAGCCGAUCCCUGCUGGGGGAGGGGGAGGUAGGCUCAGCCCUCCCCCGCCUCCUUCCCGGGAGAGGGGAUGGAGAAAAGCCCACUUCUCUGCUCCAACCUGUGCACCAGGCUGAGGGGCAGAGGCUGAGCCCAGCUACUCCCUGCCUCCCCUGGCUGGCAGGAACGAGCACCCUGCUCCCUCUGCUCCCCAGCCAGAGGCCCCUCAGGGCUGGGCUGGUAGCACUGGGUGCGGUUCGCUGUCACAGCCUCGCCAGGGCAGCCACCCCAACACGGACACUAGGAGCUCCAGGGACAACAGCUGGGGCCAGGAAGCCUCAGCUUCCCCGGAUGAGGAGUCCUCUCCAUCUGCACCUGGGGCCGCUGAACAAAGGUCAUGGGGCUAGAUCUCCUGCACGGUGGGAACCACACGCAGGCUGCGGGGCCUCCCACUCGUGCAGCCACCCAGCCGUGCCCUCCCCGCUAGGAGAGGGCACGGCUCCUCCAAGUCCCCAAGCAGACCCAGAUUGGGGGAGCGGUCCAGAGCCCCAAGUCUGGGGCUGCCCUGGGCACCAGGCUGCUCCUCUCCACAGUGUUCAGACAGCCUCUGCCACCCAGCUGUCCCCGUCCACUGUCAGCUUGCCCCCUGCUCUCUCACUCUGGCGGGAGACUGUGCCUGAGAGCUGGGGGCUGGCAUCAGACGGCCCUGGGCCCAACCCAAGCUCUGUGCUCCCGAGUCAGCCACUAACCUCCCUGUGCCUCAGGCUCCUCACCGAGGGACUGGGGGUUGGGGGUGAUCACCGCACCUGCCUUGGCCCCACUUUGUGGGAGGUGAAAGGGGAGGGCAGGUGCCCUGGGCCAGCAGUGGGGAGCAGCGGCCUCCUUCUACAUGGGCCUUGUUUACCCCCAGAAACACUCUGAGCACCUACUGCUUCCAUCGUCGUCUAGAUUAGCCACCCACUCUGGCCUGCAGGUGUCAGUCUCUAGGGGAAGCCAAGGUGUGAACACAGCAUGUGCUGGAAGUAGGAGCUUUCCAGGAGAAAUGAGAAAGAGCAUCCCAGGAGUGGCAGCAUCACGUGCAAAGGCCCAGGGGCCUGACUGUGCAGAUAGAGUGUAUCUCCCAGGGGAAGCUGUCUCUUCCUUGAGAAAGGGGAUGUUACCAGUGGGGAUGUGCGGUCCAGAGGGAGACGGGGACCAGCUCACAGUCACCCAGCAGAUGUGCACAGUCAGAAUGAGCUCAGCCCUCCCAGCUCCGCGUUGGCCGCCCAGCCCCCCUCAGCCCAGCCCUCCCCACGCCGCUCUCCGUUCCCCUUUUGCGCCCAUUCCUCAGUCCUCCUUGCUCUCAAUUCCCCAUUCCGCUUCCCUAAGCUGCCCGGGAGAGGAAGUGGCUAAGGGACAGAAGAUGUGGUUUCUUUGCUGGCGGCUCUGAGCUGCAGCCCGCAGCUUGAGCUCGAAAGUUUCCCCAGCUGUAGAAGAGAAAGAAGCAGCCUGGGAGAGUGGCCGUGGCGAGUGAAUGCGGUGACAUCUGUCUAGCGCUGAAGACAGUGAUUCAGGGAGACGGGCUGGUGACACCAACAUAGGUCCGGGUGCCGGGCCCCGUUUGUUACAGCCCAGCGCCCUUCUGCAGGGAACGUGCAAACUCAUCCUGGCCAGUUCACACCCUGAAAUGCUACCCCACAGUGAGAAAACGGAGCGUUUAUGCAGCACGGUGCGGCCCCGAGCGUGACGGCUGAGAAAGAAGCCGCAUCCGUCCGGCUCUGCAGCUGCCAGUGCUCUGAGCUGGAGGUCGCAGGCAGAGAAGCUGGGGGGCAAUGAGGAGCGAUGCCGCGUCCUCACGCUGGUCCUGUCUGCUGGCUCAGUCCUGGCUGAGGGGCCCUGGGUGUGCUUACUUUGUGAGCAGUCCUCAAGAUGUGCCCUGGAGAGACCCAAACUUCUCCACGGGCAAACAAUGCGCUAAGGUUUACAGAAAUAAAAUAGAGAUCAGCUGA
Long non-coding RNA from Chinchilla lanigera (long-tailed chinchilla), 3716 nucleotides. RefSeq lists it as uncharacterized. The transcript is spliced from 2 exons. The record is from RefSeq and is a predicted model, not a curated record. Lineage: Eukaryota; Metazoa; Chordata; Mammalia; Rodentia; Chinchillidae.